UACGUAGGGGGGCGAGCGUUGUCCGAAGUUACUGGGCGUAAAGCGUGCGUAGACGGUAGCGUAAGUCGGGUGUGAAAGCCCCGGGCUCAACCUGGGAAUUGCAUUCGAGACUGCUCUGCUAGGGUGCGGAAGAGGGAAGCGGAAUUUCCGGUGUAGCGGUGAAAUGCGUAGAUAUCGGAAGGAACACCAGUGGCGAAAGCGGCUUCCUGGUCCAGCACCGACGUUCAGGCACGAAAGCGUGGGGAGCAAACAGGG
RNAcentral lists this ribosomal RNA (255 nucleotides) under uncultured bacterium. RNAcentral's name for it is "partial 16S ribosomal RNA". It matches the Rfam family "Bacterial small subunit ribosomal RNA", at positions 524 to 777 of the family's 1533-position model. The record is from RNAcentral.